UGGGGAAUCUUCCGCAAUGGACGAAAGUCUGACGGAGCGACGCCGCGUGAGUGAUGAAGGCCUUCGGGUCGUAAAGCUCUGUCAUCGGGGACGAAUGGUCGUUGGAGUGGAAAGCCAGCGAAAUGACGGUACCCGAGAAGGAAGCCACGGCUAACUACGUGCCAGCAGCCGCGGUAAUACGUAGGUGGCAAGCGUUGUCCGGAAUUAUUGGGCGUAAAGCGCGCGCAGGUGGGAUCUUAAGUCCAUUUUGAAAGUUCGGAGCUCAACUCCGUGAUGGGAUGGAAACUGGGAUUCUUGAGUACCGGAGAGGAAAGCGGAAUUCCCCGUGUAGCGGUGAAAUGCGUAGAUAUGGGGAGGAACACCAGUGGCGAAGGCGGCUUUCUGGACGGUGUCUGACACUGAGGCGCGAAAGCCAGGGGAGCGAACGGG
RNAcentral lists this ribosomal RNA (429 nucleotides) under uncultured bacterium. RNAcentral's name for it is "bacterial SSU rRNA". It matches the Rfam family "Bacterial small subunit ribosomal RNA", at positions 355 to 776 of the family's 1533-position model. The record is from RNAcentral.